GAACUGAGACACGGUCCAAACUCCUACGGGAGGCAGCAGUGAGGAAUAUUGGUCAAUGGUCGGCAGACUGAACCAGCCAAGUCGCGUGAGGGAAGACGGCCCUACGGGUUGUAAACCUCUUUUGUCGGAGAGUAAAGUACGCUACGUGUAGCGUAUUGCAAGUAUCCGAAGAAAAAGCAUCGGCUAACUCCGUGCCAGCAGCCGCGGUAAUACGGAGGAUGCGAGCGUUAUCCGGAUUUAUUGGGUUUAAAGGGUGCGUAGGCGGCACGCCAAGUCAGCGGUGAAAUUUCCGGGCUCAACCCGGAGUGUGCCGUUGAAACUGGCGAGCUAGAGUACACAAGAGGCAGGCGGAAUGCGUGGUGUAGCGGUGAAAUGCAUAGAUAUCACGCAGAACCCCGAUUGCGAAGGCAGCCUGCUAGGGUGAAACAGACGCUGAGGCACGAAAGCGUGGGUAUCGAACAGGAUUAGAUACCCUGGUAGUCCACGCAGUAAACGAUGAAUACUAACCG
RNAcentral lists this ribosomal RNA (509 nucleotides) under uncultured bacterium. RNAcentral's name for it is "bacterial SSU rRNA". It matches the Rfam family "Bacterial small subunit ribosomal RNA", at positions 316 to 822 of the family's 1533-position model. The record is from RNAcentral.